ACGUAGGGUGCGAGCGUUAAUCGGAAUUAUUGGGCGUAAAGCGCGCGCAGGCGGUUUCUUAAGUCUGAUGUGAAAGCCCACGGCUCAACCGUGGAGGGUCAUUGGAAACUGGGGAACUUGAGUGCAGAAGAGAAAAGCGGAAUUCCACGUGUAGCGGUGAAAUGCGUAGAGAUCAGGAGGAACACCCGUGGCGAAGGCGGCACUCUGGGUCGGCCCUGACGCUGAGGCGUGAAAGCGUGGGGAGCGAACGGGA
RNAcentral lists this ribosomal RNA (253 nucleotides) under uncultured prokaryote. RNAcentral's name for it is "partial 16S ribosomal RNA". It matches the Rfam family "Bacterial small subunit ribosomal RNA", at positions 525 to 777 of the family's 1533-position model. The record is from RNAcentral.